UGCAAGUCGAGCGGACAGAUGGGAGCUUGCUCCCUGAUGUUAGCGGCGGACGGGUGAGUAACACGUGGGUAACCUGCCUGUAAGACUGGGAUAACUCCGGGAAACCGGGGCUAAUACCGGAUGCUUGUUUGAACCGCAUGGUUCAAACAUAAAAGGUGGCUUCGGCUACCACUUACAGAUGGACCCGCGGCGCAUUAGCUAGUUGGUGAGGUAACGGCUCACCAAGGCAACGAUGCGUAGCCGACCUGAGAGGGUGAUCGGCCACACUGGGACUGAGACACGGCCCAGACUCCUACGGGAGGCAGCAGUAGGGAAUCUUCCGCAAUGGACGAAAGUCUGACGGAGCAACGCCGCGUGAGUGAUGAAGGUUUUCGGAUCGUAAAGCUCUGUUGUUAGGGAAGAACAAGUACCGUUCGAAUAGGGCGGUACCUUGACGGUACCUAACCAGAAAGCCACGGCUAACUACGUGCCAGCAGCCGCGGUAAUACGUAGGUGGCAAGCGUUGUCCGGAAUUAUUGGGCGUAAAGGGCUCGCAGGCGGUUCCUUAAGUCUGAUGUGAAAGCCCCCGGCUCAACCGGGGAGGGUCAUUGGAAACUGGGGAACUUGAGUGCAGAAGAGGAGAGUGGAAUUCCACGUGUAGCGGUGAAAUGCGUAGAGAUGUGGAGGAACACCAGUGGCGAAGGCGACUCUCUGGUCUGUAACUGACGCUGAGGAGCGAAAGCGUGGGGAGCGAACAGGAUUAGAUACCCUGGUAGUCCACGCCGUAAACGAUGAGUGCUAAGUGUUAGGGGGUUUCCGCCCCUUANUGCUGCAGCUAACGCAUUAAGCACUCCGCCUGGGGAGUACGGUCGCAAGACUGAAACUCAAAGGAAUUGACGGGGGCCCGCACAAGCGGGGGAGCAUGUGGUUUAAUUCGAAGCAACGCGAAAACCUUACCGGGUCUUGACUUCCUCUGACACCCUAGAAAA
RNAcentral lists this ribosomal RNA (968 nucleotides) under Bacillus mojavensis. Its description in RNAcentral is "bacterial SSU rRNA". It matches the Rfam family "Bacterial small subunit ribosomal RNA", at positions 56 to 1006 of the family's 1533-position model. The record is from RNAcentral. Lineage: Bacteria; Bacillati; Bacillota; Bacilli; Caryophanales; Bacillaceae.